RNAcentral lists this ribosomal RNA (206 nucleotides) under uncultured bacterium. RNAcentral's name for it is "partial 16S ribosomal RNA". It matches the Rfam family "Bacterial small subunit ribosomal RNA", at positions 568 to 774 of the family's 1533-position model. The record is from RNAcentral.
UGCGUAGGCGGCUUGUCAAGCCAGAGGUGAAAGGCAUUGGCUCAACCAAUGUAAGCCUUUGGAACUGGCGAACUUGAGUACAGGAGAGGUAAGUGGAAUUCCUAGUGUAGAGGUGAAAUUCGUAGAUAUUAGGAGGAACACCAGUGGCGAAGGCGACUUACUGGACUGUAACUGACGCUGAGGCACGAAAGCGUGGGUAGCGAACA